This is a non-coding RNA of Ascosphaera aggregata, 91 nucleotides long. NCBI's taxonomy places the organism in Eukaryota, Fungi, Ascomycota, Eurotiomycetes, Onygenales, Ascosphaeraceae. The record is from the annotation of a GenBank genome assembly.
UCCGAGUUGGUCUAGUGGUCAUGAUUUCCGCUUGUCACUAAUCAUAAUAGUACGAGCGCGGGAGACCGGGGUUCGAUUCCCCGACUCGGAG